This 253-nucleotide ribosomal RNA is filed under the name uncultured bacterium. RNAcentral's name for it is "partial 16S ribosomal RNA". It matches the Rfam family "Bacterial small subunit ribosomal RNA", at positions 524 to 776 of the family's 1533-position model. The record is from RNAcentral.
UACGUAGGUGGCAAGCGUUGUCCGGAUUUACUGGGCGUAAAGAGCGUGUAGGCGGUUUGGUAGGUCCGCUGUGAAAACUCGAGGCUCAACCUCGAGACGCCGGUGGAAACCAUCAGACUAGAGUCCGGAAGAGGAGAGUGGAAUUCCUGGUGUAGCGGUGAAAUGCGCAGAUAUCAGGAAGAACACCCGUGGCUAAGGCGGCUCUCUAGUACGGUACUGACGCUGAGACGCGAAAGCGUGGGGAGCGAACAGG